RNAcentral lists this unclassified non-coding RNA (925 nucleotides) under Hevea brasiliensis (rubber tree). The record is from RNAcentral. Lineage: Eukaryota; Viridiplantae; Streptophyta; Magnoliopsida; Malpighiales; Euphorbiaceae.
UAUCUUGAUGUUAUUGCCAACGCCAAGCUCGCUGAUUAUGGUCCAGUUCGUGGUACUAUGGUCAUUCGUCCGAAUGGAAAUGCUAUAUGGGAGAGUGUCCAGGUACUAGUUUUCAUUUAUUUAUUUAUUUUCCAAAGGCAGAACUCAUUGAAAGCGUUAAAUGGCUAAGCAAUCGACAUGAGAGAAAGAACAAGAGUGAAAACGUGUGGAUAGAUGCAGCACAUCCGAAAUAAUUCCUUUGUUCGAGAGAUGGCUGGGAGCUCCUUGAAGAGAUUGAAUUACCAGCAAAGCGUCUCCUUCAAUAAGAAUAUUGCGGAAGCCUCUGGAUUUAGCAAGCUGUACUGCUUCCCUACAAGCAAGGGUCUCCGGAACUAGAGAAUCGGUGAUAUCGUAAAUCUUCUUGCAAUUCCAGCCGCAAGGAUGAGCAGAAGAGUCCCUUGCUAUUGCUGCAAUAGAGCGGCAAUUGUGAACUUUAUCAACAGCACUAUCAAAAUUAAUUUUGACUAAGCAUUGAGACGGAGAGGACCAAUCAUUGCAGAGUUGAUGGGGCGCCGUUUGUGGUGCAGGAAUUGUGUCUUGCACAGAAAAGAAUUCUUGAAAUGCUGACAUACCCGAAUACAGCAGUUCCUGGUGAGAUUGCAUUUGUCUCCUGAAAAUGAAAUUGUUCUGCAUCUUGGGAUAUACAAAUGUGGUCUAGUUUUUUUUGGAACAAUGCCUAGUUGUGUUUUUGAUUGUUACAAGCAACACCAAUCCUCUCCAUGAUUAAUGAUGCAAGUUUUGGGAAAGGGUAAUGAUGUAAGUAAGUGUUUUAAAAGUAAGGUAAAGAAAAGAAAUAAAGGGUAAAAUAGAUGUUUUAAAUCUUAUUUUAUUUGAAGAAAAACGUAUGUAAAUGAUGAUAUAUUAUUUCUGUAUUAUUUUAUUGGAA